Molecule: long non-coding RNA, 598 nt
Filed under: Homo sapiens (human)
Lineage: Eukaryota; Metazoa; Chordata; Mammalia; Primates; Hominidae
Description: non-protein coding lnc-SAMD11-7:20
Source: RNAcentral
CUCUGUUCACGGAAAGGGCCUGGGAGCUGCAACACCUCAACAGCAACAAGCACACCUGCUACCUAGAACUUGGUUUCUAAAAACCAUCCUCCUCUAAAAGGAAACAGAGCUCUUUGAAGAAACGAGACAGAUCUCAUUAUGUUGCCCAGGGUGAUCCUUGAUCUCCUGGCCUCAAGUGAUCCUCCAACCUUGGUCUCCCAAAGUGCUGGGAUUACAGAUGUGAACUACCACACCCAGUCAACGUGCAGAAGGUUUUCAGUUUGAUGUAGUCUGAUGUAGUCUCAUGUAUUUAUCCUUCUUGUUGUUGCCUGAGCUUUUGGUGUGAUAUCCAAAAAUAUCAUUGCCAAGAUCAAUAUCAAGAAACUUUCCCCCUAUGUUUCUUACAGAAAUUUUAUGGUUUCAGAUUUUUCAUCCAUUUUGAGUAUAUUUGUGUGUAUGAUGUAAGAUAAGGGUCCAGUCUCCCCAGUGUUGGAUAUCCAAUUUUCAUAACACCAUUUAUUGAAGAGAUUAUUCUUUCUCCACUGUGUUUUCUUGAUGUCCUUGUCAAAAAUUAGUUGACUUUUAUAUGCUUGGGUUUAUUUCUGGGCUCUAUUCUGUU